GCAACACACGAGUGGAAUGAACGAGCCUGCCCUGCCCAAUGUAAUGCAGUGGAACACACCGACUAGUGUAGCGUACUGAAGCCCAGUCUUGUGGAGGACUGUGUGCAAGAUCAUAGCAAGACUUCUUGCUAGCAUAUGCUUGUGUUUAAUGCAGCGACCUGAUUCUGCAUGGUGAGUUUACACAUACCCUGCAGUGAAGGUACUGUGUGCGUGUUUAAGUGUGUGCGUGUGUGUGUAAUAUCAGUGUGUAAUCAGUGUACCUCAAACAGGCUGAGUAUAACUAGGCCUGGUGUUGCAAGAGAGAUGCAGACCUGCUCCUCUCUGCCAGAACAAGUUGACUCUAUCAAACCCUGCACAUUGAAUGUGUCGUCAUCGUGCUACUGGAAUCUCCACCUUCAGAUGAGCUACAAGUUAAGAUUCAGUGAAGCUAACCCACUCAGUGAUCCACUAUGAAAGUGAAGAUGAAGACUUAAAGUAAUUCCAACUGUACAGGAAUCGGGAGAACCUGCAAUUGCUCUGGUGCAAAGGAGGCAAAUGAAGCUUUUAAGCCAGGUGGAUGGAGGGAAGGGUGAGGAGGCCUUCCCACUGAAAAGAUUAAUUGACUUUCUGCACAAUGUCACUUAUCCUCUGACUGGUGAGUGCUUCCGUGCUUGGGCUAUGAAAUAAUAUCAUUGUUACUUGCAGCAAUUUGCAUGGUGGAGAGUGAAGGCAAAAAUCGGAGAACCCACGUUGUGCAGGUGUAUCUACCGAUGUAUUUGCAGUAGAUGGCUCAUCUUGUUUCUAUAACUUCAAGCAUGGAUUUGGUUGUGAUAGAUGAAACCGAUGUAACGAUGAACAAAGACUAAGGUUCCCCACCCCCACCAUGCCGUAGAUUCCGUCACCACCCACAGCUGCACAGACUUCUCCUGUCACGGUGAUAAUCUCUUUGUCACCAUCCGUCUGUUGCAGAUUUGUACGUCUGAUUCGGUGAAUGUCCGAGUGGCUGGUCUGACUUCAGUGCCACAGGAUGUUCGUGGCACUGUUUCUGUGUGUGUGUGUGUGUGUGUGCGUGUGUGUGUGUGUGUGUGUGUGUGCGUGUGCAUGUGUAUCACUGCCAUAGGUGGUGGGAUCUGCAUCCCUGUCAAAAUGAGUAACUGUCCAGAUUUACACUUGAAUAUUAAGGG
This is a long non-coding RNA of Syngnathus acus (greater pipefish), 1163 nucleotides long. RefSeq lists it as uncharacterized. The transcript has 3 exons. The record is from RefSeq and is a predicted model, not a curated record. Lineage: Eukaryota; Metazoa; Chordata; Actinopteri; Syngnathiformes; Syngnathidae.